GCUCCCUCCCUUCUUCCCUCCCGCCCGUCACUCCUUCCCCGGCGCACGAUCUGUGGGGAGCCGGGGGCCGCGGCGGCGGCGGCGGCGGCCGCUUUCGGAGCGGGGAAGCCCUGCUUUGCGGGUCUGCGGGCUGUCCGGGCUGGCGUGGCUCAGGGUCUCGCUGCAGUCCGGGAGGAGGAGGUCCUGGUUUGGAGCCCCAGAAGCGCUUUUUCCGGCCCCACCUAGGCCCCCUGAGCCGCGCCCAUAUGGUGGGAGGAGCCCGACGCAGCUCCCCGCCUAGAAGCCGGGAAUUUUCUACGCGGUUGAGUAGCCCCGCCACCUCCUGGCCUUGUGAUCUUGGGCAAAUCCCAUCUUGUCGAGCCUCAGUUUGUUUACUUGCGAAUGAAAAUGUCAUCCUGGGUUAUCGGGAGGAUUGCUUGGAUGAGGGACAGCUUCCGCAGAGCGUUUGGCCUGUAAAAUUCAACAAAUAACAUCGGCUGCUGCUGUUGCUAACAGAGACGGCCGGGGCAGUAGAGAGUCGUGUGGACAGUUGAGAGUGGCUGAGAGGAUCACGUAGAAGAGAACGUGAAAUGCUCAGCACAGUGUCAGCUAGGAAGAGUCGGAGACAUCCUUUUCCAGAGUCCCAGAAUGGAGACUGAAGGGUACUUAGAGACACAAAGAAAUAGAGAAGUCCAGAAUGAUAAAAUAAGGCCACCAUCAAAUGAGAUGGUGGCCGAGGAGUCAGAAGUUGUCCUCAUAUCGGCUCCCCAGGUCCAGGUUCCGCGAGAGCCUUCCGGGCUUCCACCAGAGAGCCUCGAUGAAGACUCUGUCGAAGACCUUGAGACCAUGCCACGAAGGAAUCGUCCCAACGCUGCAGCCUCCAGGCAGAGGUUCAGGAAAUUCCGCUAUGAGGAUGCAGCCGGGCCCAGGGAGGUCCUCCGACAUCUGCAGGAGCUUGCUGGACAGUGGCUGAGACCCGAUAUUCACACAAAGGAGCAGAUUGUGGAGAUGCUGGUGCAGGAGCAGUUCCAGGCUGUCCUGCCCGAGGAGCUCCGAGCUCGGGCCCAGAGAUGUCAGCCCGGGGUCAGAAUCACCGGCUGAGUCCUGCCGCCGGGUCCUUGCUCAGCCUGCGCGUGAGAAGUCACCGGAGGUGCUCGUUGUUGUUGCAAGAGCCAGUCGCGGUCAUGGGGAAAUGUGAGCCUCGGUUUUUUUGAGCUUGGCUUUGACUAGUUGUAAUAAUCCGUCAAAACCCAUGUCUGGACCUCCCUCUGGCUGAGGCAGCUCUAAUUCCGGGGACUGAGCUCCGGAAAGAGCUUCUCUACCCUCCUGUUAGGACAAUCAGCCUGUUGCUUGUUUUUGCUCUGCCGAAUGCCUCCUUUUUUGCACUUUCUGACAUGCUUUAAUAUAUUGUUAUGUAUCCAAAGAGCUAAUCGCUUCAACUUUCAGAAUUCUUGAUUCUUGCUGUGGUGGCAUGAAUGGAAGCUUCUGUAACCCCAUCCAGUAAACUCGUUUGAGACGCCCUUGAAAUAUUAAAGUUUGGUCCUUAA
Molecule: RNA transcript, 1526 nt
Organism: Acinonyx jubatus (cheetah)
Lineage: Eukaryota; Metazoa; Chordata; Mammalia; Carnivora; Felidae
Exons: 2
Source: RefSeq, a predicted model, not a curated record